CAAACAGCUCCUGCAGUCAAUACACUUUUAAUAUUAAUACUGCUGGAGCCCAGGAUUCAAAUGCAUAUUUUCAAUGGAAUAUCAUAUUAGAUUUGGAAAUGGAUGGAUGGAUGGCGUCAAAAUUGAGAGCGGGCUGAAUACUAAGUCGGGAAGAUAAAUAUGCCGGGAGAAUUUGCUUCCUCCCUUGAGCUCGCUGCUGUUUGAUGGACAGCCAUGUGUGAACCCACCCAGAUCAUUGCUCCAUGGGGAUGAAUAUAUUGGGUUUGGAGAGAUGGGUUGUGCUGUGGCUCCUGUGACAGCUCAGACACCCCAGCCUGGGGGUGCCCAUCAUGCCUGUGCCAGUGGAGGGUUCAGGUCUAGGGACACAUGGGGUGAUCGUGGGAGAUGUUGAGGUCCCCCCAUCGCUCCCACUGCAUCCAGCCAUGGUGAAGGGAUGGGAUUUGCCACUGGGACUCCUCCAGUGAGCACCCAAGGGCUCAAGAGGUGCGUGAUGGGCUCUGCUGGCUGCAGGGUGAGGAGCCACCGGGCUGGAAAUCACACCAGUGAACACUGACCUAUAGGUGGCUGCAAUUCCCUAAAUGACAGGCCUUAAAAGAGAGGUAAUUCCCCCAUAAUUCUCCUUAAAUGCCCACUCUGGAGACAAUGACAGGGUAAUUUUACCCACUGUGUCCAGCCUGCAAUGCAAGAGCUGUUGUGAUGAGAGGAGCGCAGGGAUCUCACCAUGUCAGUCCAGCUGCUUUCCUCUGUCUCUCAAUGUCACUUUGCUGAGAUGCCACUGAGACCUGGAAUGCUGCUGUGACCCGGGAUGCUGCGUGUCCCUGUGAUGCUGCUCUGACCACAGCUAUUGCCAGGACCUGGGUUGCAGCACUUCCCCAGGAUGUUGUGGGAUGGUGCAAUGACCCGGGAUGGAAAAGAGAAGCUCCUGAAGGGGAGACCUUAGAGCAGCUCCAGUGCCUAAAGGGGCUCCAGGAAACCUGGAGAGGGGCUUUGGACAAGGGCCUGGAGGGACAGGCCAAGGGGAAUGGCUUUAACCUGCCAGAGGGGAGAUUGAGAUGAGCUCUUGGGCAGAAGCUCUUCCCUGUGAGGGUGCUGAGGUGCUGGCCCAGGGUGCCCAGAGAAGCUGUGGCUGCCCCAUCCCUGGCAGUGUUCAAGGCCAGGUUGGACACAGGGGCUUGGAGCAACCUGCUCUAGUGGAAGGUGUCCCUGCCCAUGGCAGGGGGUUGGAGCUGGAUGAGCUUUAAGGUCCUUUCCAACACAAACCAUUCCAUGGUUCUGUGAUUCUGGGAUGCUGCAGGGACUCAGGACACCGGAGCAGACUGAGCUGUUGCACUUCCCUGGGCUGCUGCAGCAACUUGGGCUGCUGCGUCUCCCCAAGGCGCUGCUGCAACCCAGGAUGCUGUGUCUCCCAUGGGUGCCGUUGGUGCGGGGGGAGGCAGGGAAGUGUCCCCACCACCCUCCCCAGCUCACCUCACUCCUCUGCCCCUCUCUCCAGUCGACUUCAUUGGUGGGUUCGACUCCUACGGCUACCAGGCGCCACAGAAGACAUCACACCUACAGCUACAGCCACUCUACACAUCCGGGUAACCUGCCCCGGAUCCAGCCCCAGCCCAGCGUGGGAGCCAGAGGCGACAGGACCCCUGAGAGUGAACUGUCCCACACCCAAUGACAAGACCCCCAUCAAGGGCGGGGGGACACGAUGCCGAGACACCCAUCCGCUCCCUGCACCCUGCAAGACCCCCAAGGAUGGAGCCAGGAGCUGCACGUCCAUCCAGCCUGGAAGCCUCCGAGCUCAAACCACACACCCACGGCAGGACUGGAGGGAGGGGGCUGGAUACGGGGGGACCCCCCCACGCUGUGCUCGCCCCUCAGGCUCCCGCAGCCUCCCCGGGAUGGGGACACGGGGACACGCAGGGAUGUGGCAUCACUCACUGGACACCGUUUUCUUCUGUUUCUCCCAGCCUGGAUUUCCCUUGGAGCAGCAAGGCCCUUCCCGAUGUUCCGGGCAGGAAGGGGCUGGAGCGGGAUUGGGGUGAAACCCAGCUGGUUUGGAGCAAACUGGGACCAGGGAUGAGGGAUGAACAGUGCUUUGGGGACAGGGACCAGCUUCGUCCUUCAGGGCUGGGACAUUUGCCUGAAACUCCGGGUCUGGGAGUUGGGCUGGCCCCAAAAAUGGGGGUUUUGCUCCCAGAAGGAAUUUCCCAGCCCCGCCUGGCUGGAUGGAACAGUGCCAAAGGGGUUUGGUCCCGGAUGAUUCCCUUCACCAUCAGGAGCUGGAUCCGGCUGUCAGCAUCUUGUCUCAAUUCCCCCCCAGCCUGGGGACAUGGAGGGACACAGAGCACCCCGAAUCCUCCUGCAAGCCCCCCUAUCCCUCCCACAUUUUGGGGGGGGGUCUUGCUCCAAGUUGGCAAUACUGACGCUGCUUUGACACAGCCCCUUUCCGGCUGUUUUAACGCAUCUCAUGAAUGUUUUGGGUUGGUUUUCUCCUUUCUAAUUACUGGGUUUGGUUAAUUUGUAUUAAUUUGAAGUGCCUGAGCAGUGGCUGAACAUGACCCCCCCCCCCGGCCGACACCGUGCCUUCAGCAGCGCUCUGCCCACUCCAGGGCACCCCAGGGCCUCCAACCCCCCCCCCGGUCCCUCCAUCCAUGUGGGAUCUUGGGGGCAAAUCCACCCCAUCAGGUCCGGCAGCAGGAGCGGGGUGACAUCGGGACAUGGGGAAUGGUUAUUUGGGGGGGGGGGGGAAUGUUCAAGAUCCAUUGGGCAGCGAUUGCUUUGUGAAUGGAGAUGAGCUGGGAAGUAACACCCCAGAGGAAGCUGGAAGGAAAAGGAAGUUCCAUGAAGCAUCCCAGCUCCCCAUAUCCUCCUUCUUCUCCUUUGUUUCCUGGAGGUGGGAUGUGGUGUCUCCUGGAUCUGGCCCCAAGCCCACCCUUGGCAUCUGUGAGUGUGUGUGUGGGGGGUGAAUUCUGCCUCCCAGGGGUUUGUCCUCCCAUCCUGGGGGUUAUACGGGGAUAGUCUUUGUGUUUCCCAACACGCAGCUGGGAAGUGCCAACAGCCGAAGCUGCCCAAGCCCAAACCCCAAAUCCCCCUGGAUUUGGCUGCAUCCCCCCACCAGCCCCUCCAUCGCCUCCAGCCAAGCUGCGAACUCUACAGGCAAUAAUUUUUCCACCUUUUCCCCUAUUUUUUCCAAGGAAAAUAAUGUUUUUCAGGUGACAGAUUCCCCCUUAUCCCCAAAACACAUCCCCAGCCCCAAGCGCUGCCCAGCCCCAGCAACAACAGCAUCUCCAGGGCUGAUUUUCCUCUCCAGGACCAAGGAUGCUCUCGCUGACCGGUGGGAUGGGAUGCAAUAGGAUGGGAUGGGAUGCGAUGGGGUGGGAUGGGAUGGGCAGGGCAGGCACCCACCUGCUCAAACCCCUUCUCCAAGCCAGCAGGAAGCAGAAGGAAAAGCCUGGAGUCAUUCUAACUCAUUCAGAGGAGCUGCCCUCCCUCCUGAGCUCGGUGGGAGCCAGGCACCGGCGCCGCAACCUUUUGGGUUUCCUUAUUCCCCCUUUUCCGUUGGCUUGUUUUUAUACAGGACUGUAUUUGUAAUGUGAACGAGGAUUUCUUUUCUAUUCUGUAAUUAUAAAAGGCGAAGGAAGGUUUCAGCUGAUGCUGUCCCACUCUGGGGCAUUUCCCUUCCUGGUGCACUUGAAUCGAUUAAAAUCUGGU
Molecule: long non-coding RNA, 3702 nt
Filed under: Strigops habroptila (Kakapo)
Lineage: Eukaryota; Metazoa; Chordata; Aves; Psittaciformes; Psittacidae
Description: lncRNA (ENSSHBG00005005579.1)
Source: RNAcentral